This 425-nucleotide ribosomal RNA is filed under the name uncultured bacterium. RNAcentral describes it as "partial 16S ribosomal RNA". It matches the Rfam family "Bacterial small subunit ribosomal RNA", at positions 354 to 796 of the family's 1533-position model. The record is from RNAcentral.
GUGGGGAAUAUUGGACAAUGGGCGCAAGCCUGAUCCAGCCAUGCCGCGUGAGUGAUGAAGGCCCUAGGGUUGUAAAGCUCUUUCACCGGAGAAGAUAAUGACGGUAUCCGGAGAAGAAGCCCCGGCUAACUUCGUGCCAGCAGCCGCGGUAAUACGAAGGGGGCUAGCGUUGUUCGGAAUUACUGGGCGUAAAGCGCACGUAGGCGGACAUUUAAGUCAGGGGUGAAAUCCCGGGGCUCAACCCCGGAACUGCCUUUGAUACUGGGUGUCUGGAGUAUGGAAGAGGUAAGUGGAAUUCCGGGUGUAGAGGUGAAAUUCGUAGAUAUUCGGAGGAACACCAGUGGCGAAGGCGGCUUACUGGUCCAUUACUGACGCUGAGGUGCGAAAGCGUGGGGAGCAAACAGGAUUAGAAACCCUAGUAGUCC